CAUUACUGUUAACCAACGGUUUUAUGUUAACCCUGCCCCCCAACAGUGGCUCCGGACCGGAGUGUGACAGCCACCAGCGCACGCGCCGCGGACCGUGGCGCGAAGGUGUUCGGUGAAAUGCCGCUCCGGGGUAGUCACGCUUCCACGGCGUCGUUUGGCCGGUCGAUCGAUGAAAUGCCUCCAGCGGUCCAGCCGAGAGGGUCGGCGCUGCCCUGGCCUGGGUGCGCCGUGGUCCGUCGGGCAGGACGUCACAUCCGCUCCCGCGCGCUGCGAUGGGCAGCGGAAGGGCAGAAAAGCAAACCUGCCAUCUGGGACGCAUGAAUCGUGACAAAAUUCAAGGACACAUGGCUUGCACUCCUGCUCGUCAGUCAUCACAUCCUGGCAAAGGCAACGUGCUUUUGCACUUCAGGUUGAAACAAAGAUUCAAGUAGGGAAUACAAAAUGUAAGAGGACCGCGGAAACUCACCAAAGCUCACAUCUGUUGAUUCUGGAAUAUCUGUCACCAACCUGUUUGCAUGACUUUCUCCGUCUUACCAGUGAAGGUACUCUCUUUUUGUUGGAUUGCUUGGACUUGGUGAGUCAGGAUCCACCAUUACCUAGUGGACUCUGAGUGAUGCUGAUUUGAUAAAUGGGUCCAAGAUAUCUCCAACUACGUUGCCUACAACAAGUGGGUCCCUUGACAUGGCUAGCUAUGAUUGGCAAUCUUCGAGGCAAGCUAACUUGGCUUGAAGUCUGAACUUGGGUGAAGUGAAGGGUGCAGGCUGGUAGUCUAUAUAUACUCCCAGUCCCCAAUGAGGAUAAAAGAGGCAGCAAGGCUGUGAUAGAUAAGGUCUACAAUGAUAUCGUUUUGUGUGAACUGUAUCCUUCUAACAUUGCAAGUACAUUUAUUUGCUUACUUGCGCAAAAGAUCUUCAUGCUACUCUGUCAAGUUUGGAACAUGGAAGAACUCAAAAGGGUUUACUGAACAUCAUGGUGCGUUGAAUAUGAACGCCAGAGUUAGUGGAAGUGACUGGAACGUAUGGAGCUCUUGGUUCAUUGCACAUUCUUGAUCUCGACCGACGAAUAAAGCACAUCUUCUCUUCACGUGAGCAUAUCCCAUUGGUCCAGUCCAGCCACUCCAAGGGUGAACGCAACUUGGAGGAAGGACGCAGGAGUACUUCACAUGGGCUGUCAAAAGUUUCGAAACGGACACAUAUGCAUAUACAGCAGAAUUUCAAUUAAGCAGGCUUUAGUACAGACUACUGAACAAUACCGAGACACAUAAACCCCCCAAAAUCAAGCGACAUGCAUUAUUUGACCGAGAAGUGAGAACUGGAUUUGCAAUACUACUGAGCAGUAGCUAGCCGUUUUCAGGUAUUGCUGGUAUAUCUAUCCUCUGUACCUACCAUACACUUGCUACUACCUAGCAUUUGCUUUGCUUUUGUCACUGCCUGUGCAGAGCGACAACUGCUGGACCGAUCAAGCUAGAUCGCAAUCUCGGAAUCUGGUGGAGAACGAGAAUCCUUCUGGAGAAGACGGGCAGCAGCUAGUCUACUGCUCCAUCAUAUAUGCUCCUGUCGAUCCCCUUGCUGACUGUGCUACACACGGAGGCUGGCGGCGCGUACGUGCGUCGUUGGUGCAUGUGCUAUAUGCCUACACAUGCAAGUUGCAGGCGUAUACGACAGCCUCUCAGGCACUCGUCAUCAGCUGUCCGUUAGUGGAAUGGCGUGGAGAUGGAGCCAGUGUUUCGAGCCGAGUGCCAGGCGCCAUGGAUGGAUAUGAUAUGCUUAGCUUGGCGGAUCGAUCGGCCGGAUGCUACGACCUUCUUCCACGGUGCUACCGCCUCCGGAUAUGAUCAUGCAUGCAUGGCGUGGGCAUUGCGAGCUUAUCGCAUUCCUAUAGGCCUGGAGGCGAGUCAGCGCUCAGCGGUGGACAAGAUACUGGUACGGUGGCGUCAUGGAUGUGCAUGCGCGCACGCGGUCUGAGCCCGGUGCCCGAGCCCAUUCACAUGGCAUGCCUGAUGUGGUACCGGCCGGAUGGAAAAGGCUGUUGCACCACCGCCGGAAAUCGGCGCGGGACUGCGGGGCGGCUGUUCUCUGGAGCGUUCUCUUGUGUAGCCGACUUGCUAGCCAUGUCGGCAUUGUCGCGUAUCCAGGAUUUUAUUAUAGAGUAUGCUAACCAAAAUUUACAUAUACAUUAUCCAAACCAUUUGAUCA
This is a long non-coding RNA of Zea mays, 2195 nucleotides long. RefSeq lists it as uncharacterized. The record is from RefSeq and is a predicted model, not a curated record. NCBI's taxonomy places the organism in Eukaryota, Viridiplantae, Streptophyta, Magnoliopsida, Poales, Poaceae. The transcript has 5 exons.